Molecule: transfer RNA, 93 nt
Filed under: Serratia odorifera
Lineage: Bacteria; Pseudomonadati; Pseudomonadota; Gammaproteobacteria; Enterobacterales; Yersiniaceae
Description: tRNA-Arg(acg)
Source: RNAcentral
GUUUGCCUUGUGAUGGUGGCCCUUCGACAGCCUACGCUGCUGUCAGCAAUGCCGGUGCUGCGUGGGUGGGGAGUUCGAAUAUCCAGGCAAACG